This 687-nucleotide ribosomal RNA is filed under the name Clostridioides difficile. RNAcentral's name for it is "bacterial LSU rRNA". It matches the Rfam family "Bacterial large subunit ribosomal RNA", at positions 2289 to 2925 of the family's 2925-position model. The record is from RNAcentral. Lineage: Bacteria; Bacillati; Bacillota; Clostridia; Peptostreptococcales; Peptostreptococcaceae.
AGGAAAAAGAGAGCUGGAUUGCAAGACAUAAAGGUCGAGAAUGGAUGAAGAUAGGACAUAGUGAUAGGCGCUCAAAGGUUCUCUCAGUACGGUCGGAAAUCGUACGUAGAGUGUAAAGGCAAAAGAGAGCUUGAUUGCAAGACAUACAGGUCGAGCAAGGAUGAAAAUCGGACUUAGUGAUCCGGUGGUUCUGCGUGGAAGGGCCAUCGCUCAACGGAUAAAAGCUACCCUGGGGAUAACAGGCUUAUCUCCCCCAAGAGUCCACAUCGACGGGGAGGUUUGGCACCUCGAUGUCGGCUCAUCACAUCCUGGGGCUGUAGUAGGUCCCAAGGGUUGGGCUGUUCGCCCAUUAAAGUGGUACGCGAGCUGGGUUCAGAACGUCGUGAGACAGUUCGGUCCCUAUCCGUCGCAGGCGUAGGAAAUUUGAGAAGACCUGUCCUUAGUACGAGAGGACCGGGAUGGACGUACCUCUGGUGUACCAGUUGUCCUGCCAAGGGCAUGGCUGGGUAGCUAUGUACGGAAUGGAUAAGCGCUGAAAGCAUCUAAGCGCGAAGCCAACUUCAAGAUAAGAUUUCCCACCGCAAGGGUAAGACCCCAGAAAGACUAUCUGGUUGAUAGGUCGAAGGUGUAAGUGCAGCAAUGUAUUUAGCUUAUCGAUACUAAUAGGUCGAGGACUUGACCAAUAUU